This 216-nucleotide ribosomal RNA is filed under the name Glomeromycotina sp. Its description in RNAcentral is "partial small subunit ribosomal RNA". The stretch from base 87 to 216 matches the Rfam family "Eukaryotic small subunit ribosomal RNA", at positions 733 to 864 of the family's 1831-position model. The record is from RNAcentral. Lineage: Eukaryota; Fungi; Glomeromycota.
GGGUCAGUAGGUUGGUCGUGCCACCGGUACGUACUGGUCUCACUGAUUCCUCCUUCCUGAAGAACCGUAAUGCCAUUAAUUCGGUGUUGCGGGGAAACAGGACUGUUACUUUGAAAAAAUUAGAGUGUUUAAAGCAAGCUAACGCGUGAAUACAUUAGCAUGGAAUAAUGAAAUAGGACGAUCGAUCCUAUUUUGUUGGUUUCUAGGAUUGACGUA